GGUAGCGUGUCCGAGCGGCCUAAGGAGCGCGCCUCGAAAGCGCGUGUGGUCAACAGCCACCGUGGGUUCGAAUCCCACCGCUACCG
RNAcentral lists this transfer RNA (86 nucleotides) under Saccharopolyspora hordei. It matches the Rfam family "tRNA". Rfam says of the family: Transfer RNA (tRNA) molecules are approximately 80 nucleotides in length. Their secondary structure includes four short double-helical elements and three loops (D, anti-codon, and T loops). The record is from Rfam by way of RNAcentral. Lineage: Bacteria; Bacillati; Actinomycetota; Actinomycetes; Pseudonocardiales; Pseudonocardiaceae.